AUUCCAGCUCCAAUAGCGUAUACUAAAGUUGUUGCAGUUAAAAAGCUCGUAGUUGAAUUUCUAGGUGUGAAAGGCGGUCCUGCCUUCAGGGUUGUGUACCUCCCUUUCACGCCUAUCCUCGUAGUGAACAUGUAUUCUUUUAAUUAAGCGUAUAUGGGACCUGCGUCAUUUACUGUGAGCAAAAUAGAGUGUUCAAAGCAGGCUUAAGCCGUUGAAUAUAUUAGCAUGGAAUAAUAAGAUAUGACUUCUGUCUUUCUUGUUGGUUUCUAGAACUAAGUUAAUGAUUAAUAGGGAUAAUUGGGGGCAUUUGUAUUAACACGUCAGAGGUGGAAUUCUUGGAUUGUGUUACGACAAACUACUGCGAAAGCAUUUGCCAAGGAUGUUUUCAUUA
Molecule: ribosomal RNA, 391 nt
Filed under: Ochrophyta sp.
Lineage: Eukaryota
Description: partial small subunit ribosomal RNA
Rfam family: Eukaryotic small subunit ribosomal RNA
Source: RNAcentral